AAAAAAAAAAAACGACUCUUCUAUAAGUCAAGAGAUACAGAAAUGCACAAAAAGAACUGCAAAUUGAGAAAUGCCUAUAUAUCAUGGAUUAAAGAAAAAAGGAUAUUCACAAUGGAAACGAACCUAUGCGAUGCAUUGAAACCAAUCUUUCACUUUUUCUUCUUUUUCUUGACCUUUUCAAUCAUUAUCCUAAUAAUUUUCACAUCCAAGCUUAACGAUU
This 220-nucleotide unclassified non-coding RNA is filed under the name Hevea brasiliensis (rubber tree). The record is from RNAcentral. Lineage: Eukaryota; Viridiplantae; Streptophyta; Magnoliopsida; Malpighiales; Euphorbiaceae.